UAUUGUUCAGAAAAUUUCUCGAGCUCCCCGAAAACCAGCCUCAUCGUAUUGAUGCUUGGCAUUUGAGGAAGACAAGCGCAGUUUUAGUACCUGUGGCUGUCGAGAAGGACGCUAGGAGUGAUAUUCCUGAAAUUGACAGGAAGAAAUACCAUGUCCCUGGUAAUAUGACCCUUGGAGAAUUCAUCUUAUUCAUUAGGGUCAGUAUCAGGAUAAGCAAGAAAAAGCCGAUAUUUGUCUCUUUCAAGAACACUAAACCUCCUGUUGGUGCUUUGUUUUAUGAAAUCGAUGAGGAAAAUAAGGGUGAAGAUGGAUUUCUUCACAUUACCUACAGUGGGGAAGAGAAUGUUUGUGGAUCAAAUCAAGAGCAAGAACACGGGGAUGAAAUGUCUAUCAAGAAGGAAGCCGCAAACAAUCCACAUGCAACACCAGUAGGAAUUCCACUGAAGCAGAAUAUAUAUAAUUCUCGUGAAAUCUGCAUGCAAGGGGGAUUGACAGUAUUCCCGACAACAAUUCCAUUGAACCUGCCAUGGGUGCCUGGUUAUCUGCAAUCAAUGAGAGAAAUAAGGAUAAGUUGUAUUUCUUCACAUCAGUCGGAAAGGAGGAGAAUGUUUGUGAAUCAUCCAAGGAAGACCGAGAAUGCAUUAAGUUGAAGUAUUUAGUUUUAUGAAAUGCAUUGGGACUGUGAUAUCUGUGUGUGAUAGUGUUAUCAGUUAGAAUUGAGUUGGGGGCUCAAUUACAACUGUAUCCCUUGAAACUCAACCCGAGUUAGAGUAACUGCGUUUGUUUUUAACUCUAAACUUUAUAUCCGACCCUAACUUUUCCAGUGUAUUACAAAUGUCACUUACCGAUCCCGGAAUACAUCUAGAAUCAACACAUGACAUGACGUCAAGUCGUAUUGGGACAAUCAAGUAAAACCUAGCUAGAUUUCGUGCUUCAUAAAAUACAAACAGAAAGAACCUCAUCAACAAACCAAUAGCCUCACAACGCGAAGUACCAAAAACAAUCAAUGAUUUAACAACAUAGCAUCCACUCAUUUAUUUUACUACAUAUAUAUAAUCGGGGUAACCAUUACGAACUAUAUACCUUGUUCUGUAUAGCUGACUAGGCAUACGAAACAUAAA
RNAcentral lists this long non-coding RNA (1121 nucleotides) under Malus domestica (apple). Its description in RNAcentral is "long non-coding RNA (MDOM_LNC006159)". Lineage: Eukaryota; Viridiplantae; Streptophyta; Magnoliopsida; Rosales; Rosaceae. The record is from RNAcentral.